AACGAACGCUGGCGGCAUGCCUAACACAUGCAAGUCGAACGGGGUCCUAGCUUGCUAGGUGAGAGUGGCGGACGGGUGAGUAACACGUGGGAAUCUGCCCUUUGGUCCGGGAUAACCGCGGGAAACUGCGGCUAAUACCGGAUGCCCUCGCGAGAGGAAAGAUUUAUCGCCAGAGGAGGAGCCCGCGUCCGAUUAGGUAGUUGGUGGGGUAAAGGCCUACCAAGCCGACGAUCGGUAGCUGGUCUGAGAGGAUGAUCAGCCACACUGGGACUGAGAUACGGCCCAGACUCCUACGGGAGGCAGCAGUGGGGAAUAUUGGACAAUGGUGGCAACCCUGAUCCAGCAAUGCCGCGUGAGUGAUGAAGGCCUUAGGGUUGUAAAGCUCUUUUGCCAGGGAAGAUGAUGACUGUACCUGGAGAAUAAGCCCCGGCUAACUUCGUGCCAGCCGCCGCCGUAA
This 457-nucleotide ribosomal RNA is filed under the name uncultured bacterium. RNAcentral describes it as "partial 16S ribosomal RNA". It matches the Rfam family "Bacterial small subunit ribosomal RNA", at positions 29 to 523 of the family's 1533-position model. The record is from RNAcentral.